Pelobates cultripes (western spadefoot toad) is the source of this 459-nucleotide non-coding RNA. The record is from the annotation of a GenBank genome assembly. Lineage: Eukaryota; Metazoa; Chordata; Amphibia; Anura; Pelobatidae.
GUUAGUUUUGCUUGAGAAACGAAGAUGAAAGAUUAGUAUCUGGUGUGUGUAUUCUUAUAGAUGCAUCCUGUGAGUUUCCCUCCAGCACCACCUCCACCAGAUAUAUGACACUUGGGUGUGUGACUGUUGUAGUGUUUCUGUCGAUAAGAUUCUGUAAUUAUGUUAUUCAGAAUUGUCAGCACCAGGUCAAAUGGGCUCUUAAUACAGCCCAGGAUGAUGGCAUGGAAGGGACUUUUAAAUGUAAUGGAAAAUGUCACAGUCAUUAACCAGAAAGUACAAAUACCUGUAACUUAUAAAUAUGUCUACCCUAAAUGUGUUACAGUUGGUAGUCUUAAUAUUUUCCUUAUACACCUGUAAGUAGGUUCUUGUUAUUACCACUUAUUGUUGACUAUUGUGUAUAUUUUAGGUUUUCACCUUUGUACGGUGAGAACACCACUCACGUCACACCACUGUCAUGAC